GACGUAGGGCGCGAGCGUUGUCCGGAUUUAUUGGGCGUAAAGAGCUCGUAGGCGGCUUGUCGCGUCGACUGUGAAAACCCACGGCUCAACUGUGGGCUUGCAGUCGAUACGGGCAGGCUAGAGUUCGGUAGGGGAGACUGGAAUUCCUGGUGUAGCGGUGAAAUGCGCAGAUAUCAGGAAGAACACCAAUGGCGAAGGCAGCUCUCUGGGACGGUACUGACACUGAGGCACGAAAGCGUGGGGAGCAAACAGG
RNAcentral lists this ribosomal RNA (253 nucleotides) under uncultured bacterium. Its description in RNAcentral is "partial 16S ribosomal RNA". It matches the Rfam family "Bacterial small subunit ribosomal RNA", at positions 524 to 776 of the family's 1533-position model. The record is from RNAcentral.